CCUACGGGAGACAGCAGUGAGGAAUAUUGGUCAAUGGACGAGAGCCUGAACCAGCCAAGUAGCGUGAAGGAUGACUGCCCUAUGGGUUGUAAACUUCUUUUAUAUGGGAAUAAAAUGUUCCACGUGUAGGAUUUUGUAUGUACCUUAUGAAUAAGGAUCGGCUAACUCCGUGCCAGCAGCCGCGGUAAUACGGAGGAUCCGAGCGUUAUCCGGAUUUAUUGGGUUUAAAGGGAGCGUAGGUGGGUUGUUAAGUCAGUUGUGAAAGUUUGCGGCUCAACCGUAAAAUUGCAGUUGAAACUGGGAGUCUUGAGUACAGGAGAGGGGGGGGGAAAUCGGGGU
This 339-nucleotide ribosomal RNA is filed under the name uncultured bacterium. Its description in RNAcentral is "partial 16S ribosomal RNA". It matches the Rfam family "Bacterial small subunit ribosomal RNA", at positions 338 to 674 of the family's 1533-position model. The record is from RNAcentral.